GGGGACGAAAGGAUUUCGACGGGGAUCUUGAACCAUUGGUAGCGAGCAGCGGCGCGGACCCGCUAUAAAAGCCGCAGUUUAGAAAUAAACGACGACAACUACGAACUACUUGCUGCUUAACCUAAUCGGUUAGCAGCCGUUCCGCCCGGGAGGACUGCGGCCCGGAACGGAGCGUCACUGAGCAGUGCACGUGCAUGAGCGGGACGCCGUGCCCCUCAUCAUGAAUAUACACGGCUACCGUACCGCGCAGCCUGCCCGUUGGCGGCGCGCGAGGGGAACCCCAAACAACGGGAUACGCUCGUAGAAACCAAUGCGGAUGGAUGUUCGGACGCGGUUUCGAUUGCCGCCGUCUCCACCA
RNAcentral lists this transfer-messenger RNA (358 nucleotides) under Oscillospiraceae bacterium. It matches the Rfam family "transfer-messenger RNA". From Rfam's summary of the family: Bacterial tmRNA, also known as 10Sa RNA or SsrA, is named for its dual tRNA and mRNA-like properties. Its role is to liberate the mRNA from a stalled ribosome. The record is from RNAcentral. Lineage: Bacteria; Bacillati; Bacillota; Clostridia; Eubacteriales; Oscillospiraceae.